RNAcentral lists this ribosomal RNA (502 nucleotides) under uncultured bacterium. Its description in RNAcentral is "partial 16S ribosomal RNA". It matches the Rfam family "Bacterial small subunit ribosomal RNA", at positions 30 to 523 of the family's 1533-position model. The record is from RNAcentral.
AUUGAACGCUGGCGGAAUGCUUUACACAUGCAAGUCGAACGGCAGCACGGGUGCUUGCACCUGGUGGCGAGUGGCGAACGGGUGAGUAAUACAUCGGAACGUACCCAGUUGUGGGGGAUAACUAACCGAAAGGUUAGCUAAUACCGCAUACGACCUGAGGGUGAAAGCGGGGGACCGUAAGGCCUCGCGCAAUUGGAGCGGCCGAUGUCUGAUUAGCUAGUUGGUAGGGUAAAGGCCUACCAAGGCGACGAUCAGUAGCUGGUCUGAGAGGACGACCAGCCACACUGGAACUGAGACACUGUCCAGACUCCUACGGGAGGCAGCAGUGGGGAAUUUUGGACAAUGGGCGCAAGCCUGAUCCAGCCAUGCCGCGUGAGUGAAGAAGGCCUUCGGGUUGUAAAGCCCUUUCGGCCGGGAAGAAAUCGCAUCAGCUAAUACCUGGUGUGGAUGACGGUACCGGAAUAAGAAGCACCGGCUAACUACGUGCCAGCCGCCGCCGUAA